AAGAACAUUUACACUACACCCUUAGCUCCCAUGAUUAGAGGAGAAAUCGAUUGCGAUGUUUCCCUGCCCCUCCGGCGGGUGCCCGGCAUCUUCGGCUUCACCAUCACCAGAUUACAAUAGUUUAAUUACCCUAAUACCCCAUUCUUAAACAAUAGACUCACUAUUAGAAUUGCAUAAUUCCGUUAACUACUCUAACACUUCCUACUUUCUCUAAAACAAUUGACUUUGUUACAACACAAUCACACCACCACUACCACUAUCGCUACUACAGCUAAUCAUUAUCAACAACAAAACGUGGAAUUCUUUUCGUAGUCUCUUGACUUGCUAGAAAUAGCAGCUAAAUACCAUUCAUCUCACGCUCUACCGUCUUUAAAAAAGAAGUCACAUUGUAAUGUAGUAACAGAUGUACUAUGACUGAACUAAUGGGCAGAACAGUCACGGCUGGAACAUCUUUGAUUACAGCUCCGCUCUGUCAAGCUGACCUGGGGCUAAAGAACAUCAUUACCAUUUCGUGCCAACAAAGAAACCUUUAUGUUGUCACUCGACUUGCUAGAAAUGGCAGCCAGAUCUGUCUCAAAUUAUAUCCCGAAAUCUUAAAAAAAACCCCAGACACGUGUGUAUUCAGAAUAAUGUAAUUUUAGAUAUGUUAUAACUUGAAAGGUGCGAUUGUCACGGUUGGAACGCAUUUUAUCCUUUGUUCAAUCAGUAUUGAUCUGACGUGAACAACAGCACUGACAACUACAAUAUUGCCACUACCACAACUUUAGCUUUGCACUCCUUCAUACAACAACACUACACCACUGCAUUAUAGUUCUACGAUUCACUUGUCAGCCCCUACCAAUAUAUUUCCAAACACAAUAGACUCCAUAACAACGACGACUGCAGUUUAACAGCAACGACCAAACAACCGCUCCGUUAUCACUACUAACAACAAAUAUCGGUCAAAUCUCCCUUAAUUCACACACUGUUUUCUUUAAAAAUAAGAAAGAACACAUUGGAUAACGAAAUCCGCUGUCUGAAAAAGAAAGAAAAAGUGAAAUGAUCACGAUUGGAAUGCUUUCGAUCAUAAGCCUACUCGAUCGGCUUUCGUCUUGUGUUAAACGAUAGCAAUAACAAAACGUCAGUAUAUUUAAAGUUCUUUAUUUACCCUGUUAUUCCCCUCUAGUUUUACUAAAUAUAAAGGACUACCAAAAUAAUACUAUAGUUGUGAAAGUUCUGUCGUUAUCCUGUCAUCCCCCAUCAAAUUCUCUAAACACAGCAGACUAUACCAUAACGACAGUUAUGGGGGGGGGGAGUUUCUUAUGUUUAGAUUCGAAAGUUUUUUUAAUAAUCCUGUCAUCCCCAUUAACAUCUCUAAACGUAACGGACUCUGCCAAACCACUACUACAGCAAAAGUUCUAUAAUAAUCCUGUCACCCCUCCAUCAAUUUCUCUAAACGUUAUGGACUCUGCCCGUACCACAAGGAUAAUAUAGUUGCGAAAGUUCUAUAGUAAUAGUCAUUCCUCAUCCAUUUUUCUAAACGUUGUAGGCUCCACCAUCACUACACUUUGAGACAACAUAGUUGCGAAAGGUCUGUAAUUAUUCUGUCACCCCCACCUCGAUGUCUCUAAAUGUAAUGGACUCUGCCAGUACCGCUAUGACAAUAUAGUUGCGAAAGUUCUAUAAUAAUCCUGUCACUCCCCAUCAAUUUCUUCAAACGUAAUUGACUUCACCAACACUACUGUGAUAGCAUAGUUGUGAAAGUUCUAUCGGUAGCCUCUGGUAUUCCCCACUUAAAUUUUCCAGAGUAGACUCCACCCCUACGACAAUAGUUACCAAAGUUCUAUAAAUAUUCUGUCAUCCCACAUCACUUUCUCUGAACACAUUAGAAUUCACCAUCACCACUACUAUAACAAAAGUUUUCCAACUCUCCAAUCUAGCUACCCCACCCCACAAAUUUCUCUUAACACAAUAGACUCCACCGCCAUCCAUCGUCCCGGCUCCGCCACAACCUUCACAACAGCAGAGUCUCAACAAGUUCUUGCUAAAACAGGAAGCAACGAAGUGGCGGUGCUGAGAGGGUUGUUCUGUAGGAGGUUCAUCAGCUGCCCUCAUUGUUCUCACUCUCUCUUUCUUCCUUUCUCUCUCUAUGUGACUAAUAGAAAAUAACUGUAUAAAACAUAGACUGACAAAAUGUGUGUGUGUAUAUAGACACAUAUAUAUAUGUAUUCUUUGUAAUUCUACUUCGCGAGUUGGUACAGCACCAUAGUUUUGUUUCACAGAGAAACACACCACAGACCUGUAUAUUAUAUCAAAAGUUUAUAUAUAUAUAUACAUACAUAUAUAUAUAUAUUAAGUUUUCUAUAUAAUAUCACAUCAUCUAUGUACGAAUUAUCAUAUAUUAUACAUUUUUAUAAUUAUAUAUAUAUAUAACCAUAUUUCAAUAGUUUCUACAGUAGCAUUAUUUGUUACCCACAGAAAUAAACCGACAGACACAGGAUUGUUUGUGUGUGUGUGUGUGUGUGUUGGAAUGGAAGCAAGACAUCUAGUCUUACCAAAAUGGAUGUACAGCUAAAAGGAUGUCUAAUAUAAAAGUUGCUGUCAGAGUCAGGCCUCUCACCAAACGAGAAUUGGAACUUGGUUCUCGUGACAUUGUAGAAAUCUCUGGUGAUACAAUUAAUGUGACCAACACUAAGGUGGACAGCCAGCCAGAAUAUGGAGACAGUCGAGAAAGAGUUAAAACUUUCACAUUUGACUAUUGCUAUGACUCCUCAGGACCUCCAAAUAUGCCAGGAUAUGCUUCCCAACAGUUGGUGUUUCAAGAUCUGGGCACAGAGGUGCUGGAGGCUGCAUUUGAUGGCUACAAUGCCUGUAUGUUUGCCUAUGGGCAAACAAGUACCGGGAAAACCUAUACAAUGAUGGGUGAAGGGGAGGAGUAUGGUCUCAUCCCUCGGAUAUGUGAGGCCCUCUUCAGCCGGGUUGAUGACUUCAUUGAUGACAAUUUUACAUUUAAAGUAGACAUCAGCUACCUGGAAAUUUACAAUGAGAGGGUCAGAGACUUACUGCAAGCCCCACCAGUGAAACAAUCAGAGAAAUACACCCUGAAAGUUCGUGAACACCCCAAAGAUGGUCCUUAUGUUCAAGAUUUGUCCCGGCAUCUUAUUAAAGAUAACCAACAAAUUCAGUCUCUGAUUGAGAAAGCUAAUGAAAAUCGAACAACAUCAUCUACUCACAUGCAUCAACACAGCAGUCGAAGUCAUGCUAUUGUUACUGUCACAUUCACACAGGCAAGGUUGGAAGAUGAUUUACCAAGUGAGAUUGUUAGUAAAGUCCAUCUUGUGGAUCUUGCUGGCAGUGAACGAGCCUCAACCACACAGAAUCUGAACUAUAAAGACCGGUUGAAGGAAGGCGCUAACAUCAACAAGUCUUUAGUGACACUUGGCAAUGUUAUUAAAUGUCUCGCGGAGAGGUCAAUGAUGUCAAUGAGUGCAGACAAUGCUGAGAGUUGGUCACAAGGUAGUUCAGAUUCUGUCAUGACCUCCAGUCUGGUGACCCCACGGCGUUCUCGGAGCCUCUAUGUACCCUAUCGUGAUUCUGUCCUCACCUGGCUUCUCAAAGACAGUUUAGGAGGAAACUCCAAGACAAUUAUGAUCUCAACUAUCAGUCCAGCCAGUGCUUACUACAACGAGACAGUCAGUACUCUGAGAUAUUCGCAAAGAGCCAAAAGUAUCAUCAACAAACCUAAAAUUAAUGAGGACUCUAAUGUGACAUUAAUUAAAGAGUUGAGGAGAGAAAUUGAACAUCUGAGAGUGAUGCUGAUCUCAGCACAGACGCGGAAACCUGUCCCAGAGCCAUGUCUUGGAGUGAGUGAUCUGAAAGACAAUGCAGUGUCACUACAGGAGUCCAGUGUGUUUCUGUGCGAGAAACUGGAGGAGAAUGUGGCUGCUGCCAAACAACUGACCAGACACUGGAUUGAGAAGUGGCAAGAAACACAAGAUAUUUUAACAGAAUCUGAUCUAAGCAUUCGUCGACCUCUGGGUAAGAGAUCAAGUUCAAUGGGGGUCAUAGUUGACUCCCAGCAACCUCAUCUUCGUGGAAUGGAUGAUGAUAUUUUGAAUACUGGAAUAGUUCUUUAUUACUUGAAGGAGGGGAAAACAUUAAUAGGAAGUGACCUGGCUGAUAGAGAACAGGACAUUGUUCUAACUGGCCAAGAUAUACAACCAGAACACUGCUUUAUCCAGUUUGUUGAUGGCACAGUUAUCCUUUACCCACGUCACAAUGCACCGUGUGCCAUAAAUGGUAUUGAAGUAACACAACCCACAAAGUUAACUCAAGGAGACACAGUCAGGAUUGGUGAUAGUCUUCAGUUUCGCUUCAACAACCCUGCAGAAGCUGCCAAACUGAGAGAAUUUAUCAAGAACAAAAACAGCAGUGAUUCUCUGGUGAUGGAGAGGGAUGUCCAAACAGAUCCCGAGAGUGGUUCUGCUAUUGAUGCUAUUCCAGAUGUACCACUAAUAAACAAAAGUUUACCUGUGGAACAGGAUCAGAGUGAAAAGAUUAGGAUCAAAGAUGCCAGGGUCCAGUUGCAACGUGUGAAGGAUAAGCUUGAGAAAGCUGUGAACACCUACAACAAGGCAGUACAACAAAUGCAACAGAUACAGAUGCUGCAAAAGGGCAAGCAAGAGGACCUGAUGCAGAUUCUGAAUGAUUUGGUUGCCAACUGCAACCAGAUGCACAUGCAUGUUACUAAAGAGUUGUCCAAGAUGAAGACUAAACAAGAUAAGGGAACUGAUACACAGGCCAAAUCCACUUCAAUAGAUGAGAAAGGGUCACCAGGCAAGGAUAGUGAAUCUCCCAAAUGUCGAGAGGAAGCAUUGAAAGCUGCAAUAGAUGUAAACCCUCAGCUGCAAGAAUUGCAGAAGGCUUGGCGUGCAUCUGAAGCUGAAGUCACUGAGUAUGAGCAGAAGAUGAGGCUCCUAAAAGAAGAACACAACAAAGCAAUGAUGUUGAAGAGUCAGGAAGUGUCAUCACAACUUGAACGUGUCAACAUUCUGAAGAAACAGAGGGAAAAGCUGGAACAACUGAUUGAAGAGGUUGGACAUUUGAAGAGAGUCAGCAAGGACAAGCUGACAUUAAUGCAUGGUGCCAACACAGAUGAAUCGGUUCAUUAUGAUGUACACCUUGCAUCGUUGCUGCAAGACUCUGUGAAUAAACGUGACUGCUUGAGGCAGACUAACGAGACAUCUUUGCCCAAGGGUCAGAAGUUAACUGAAGAGGAAUUAAUGUCUAAACCUGUUGGCCAUCAUAACGGCAGCAGCUGUUCAAAAGCCCCACAGUCUAAGUCAGUGACAUCCAACCUCAAGUGUAAAAAGUCUGAAAGUAGUCAGUUAAAUAAAGACAAAUCUACUGCCAGAGCUAUCAAUAAGCCACAAAAUCAAACUCAGGCUGUUUCCUCACCUUCAAGAAAUGGUAAAGUGUUGCCAGAAAAUAUUCAGCUCAAUGAAUCCGAGAAAAAUAUUGCAGAGGACCAUCUCAGUGAUUAUUCUGAUGAUUCUUUGGAUAAGACUAUUGAUGAGGUAAAUCCUGUCACUCAGACCACAAAGACUGCAGAUUCUACCUCUCAUGCAGGCCCUCAGGUAUCACAUCCCAACUCUGUUCAGAAAUGUGACAAAGAUUUUGCUGAUGUAAGGAGCGGUCAAACCCAGCCUAUGCAGUACGUCAAAGAGGAAUCUACCCAAGUUAUCUUCAAGGUGGGCACCAAAGUUUUGGCUGAGCCUUCAUCCAUGAAUAAAUCUGAAAGUGUUUCCCCAAAGUUGACAUCUGAUGCUCGUAACAGUAAAGUUAGUCCUGGUGGUGGGAGAGUUGGCGGUAAGAAUUCUGUGAACGGUUCUGGUUCAAAUACUCAAGCUACACUUGGUGGUCAGUGCUGCUCAGAUCAACCAUCAAAUCAAAACUCAACUGAAUGCCUUCAUACUCUGGCUCAUUCAACAGCUCAAGGUUCAGUUGAGUGCCAUCAUUCUCCAGCUCAGUCAUCAAACCUUAUAUCUCAGAUUCCAAAGAAGAUUCUUCAGUUGGGUGAUAUACGCAAAGUUUGUACAAGCAAACUGCCCACCAAGCAAGAUGCCAUUGAAAUGGACAACUUAAAACCAGGUAGUAUAAAUAAAGUGACUAUUAAGCCUGAUAUUAAGGUGGAUAGCCUAAAGCCAGUGAGUGGUCAAUAUUGUGGUCAGUCAGUUGAAGAAACAUGUCCAGUAGUUGAAAUGGAAAUGGCUUCAUCUCCAGAUAAACCUGAAGCUAGAUCUCCUUCAGGUAGAAACGCUCAAGAAACCCUCUUUCAGUUGGAUGAUAUUCAUGGGCAAAACAUAUCAUUAGGUUUAAAGGAUUCUCCUGAACUACCUUCUCACCACUUAAUUAAUCCAGUGGCGGAAGGUUCUUGCCCUAACCCAGCCAAUUUUGCACAAAAUUCCAUCAGCUCUGAACUCAAGGGAGCAAAACAACCAAGUAAUGUAAAAUCAGGCUGUUGUCAAAAUGUUGUAGACAAUCAGGAUUGUCUUGAAAAUGUUCCAAAAAGUGACUCAGAAGAAACUGUUGAAAUAAAACUUGGAAAUAAAACAGUUUUUUGUAAAAUUUCUGAUAAGAAAUCUGUGAGGCCAGAAGGCAAAGCUCAGAACCAGCCAGAAGAAGUCUUUGAAAAUGGUUGCAUGUCUAACAGACUUUCUGAGUUUGUUCUCAGUGAAAUGAAAAAGAGACAGUCUUCAAAAGUAGACAGUGUUAAAAGCCAAAGUCCUCUACCAAACACUGGAAAUGUAGAUCUCUCUAGAUCUGGCAAAAGUCAACAGAGCCAAACUAAGUCAUCAAAUAUACCACACAUUAUUUCUUCUGAAAGAACUGGAAAUGUUAAAAAAGAUUUUGAUAAGAAUUUGACAGGAUCAAAAGAAUCUAUGGUUUCUGGAAAGAGUGAACAAACAGAUUUUGACUUAAUUGCUACAAAGAAGGCUGAACCAUUACAUGGACGAGACUGCUCUGAGAUGAGAUUAAGGACCAAAAAUGAAAACUUACCUAGUAAAGUUGCUCUAAAUUCCAGAUUAGUCAAUGCACCAAGUGACCAAUCUUUAGUCACUCCUGAAGAAUCUUGUCUUGCAUCCAAUAGUUGUCAUCUGGAAGGUAAUCUAGGUGAGAACCAGGUAGGUAGUUGUCUUCCAGUCAGAAUAGCACCCGAGAACAAAAAUGUUGAAGCAAAAUGUAAACCUGUACCCAAUACAAAAUGUCAAAAAAAGCCGAUUGGCCAAAGUCUUUCAUCAUCAUCAUCAUCAUCAUCAUCAUCACCAUCAAUGACCCAUCCUCUUCAAGAGUCAAAUGACUCGUCACUUGUUAGAAAUUCCAAACCCAUCAUUUCCACUCACAGCCAUGAGGAAAGAAGCAGUUACUUGGAUCAAGAUCCUGGUUCCAAUGUGUCUCUGCCAAAUAAAACAACCAAACUAUCACAUUGUUCUGCCAGAACUGAGUUAGUGACAGAGUUCAGUGAUGACCAUGCUGGCAAAGCUUGUCCUCUCACAUACAUUGUGAAAGUCAGUGAAGAAGAGACCAAUGUGUUUUACAAUGUUGAGUCGACUGACUACAAAAUAUCCAAAAUCCGUAAAACUUUACCUGCCACCAAAGGUUUAGAUCAAAUUGAUUCUUUGAUCACUACAGAAUCAUUCUGUGCUGACACUGCUGGUCUGGCCAAAGAAAAAUCCUCAGGAGCAGCUUUUAAUCAUUCUUCCUCAAACUCAAACAUUCCAAGAUCAGAGACUAACUCAAAGAGUUCUUCAAAGUUGGCCAAAGAUUCACUACUUCAUUCACUUGAUGUUGGAAAAACAGAGUUGGAAGACAAUCCAAGUUACAGCAUAGACAGAAAGGAAUCUCUAAUAUCUGAUUCCAAUUCUUGCAUUAAAGCAAGUCACGACCAUUCUAAAGAAACAUGUCUUCUAAAAAGUAAGGGAACACUUGCAUCAGACAGUAGAAGCAUGUUACAUGAUGGCUGUCAGCAGUGUUUGCAAACAGGCACUGACUUGCAGGAAACUGUUGUAUUAAAUGGUAAAGUGAAAGAUUCUACCAAUACAAUUGAUGACUCGCACCAGAAGACUCCUACUGAUCACAGCCAUUUGACUUGUAAUUCUUCAGUGGUUGGGUCACCCUCUUCAAGAUCAAGUAAUGGUGAGUGGGUCACUUGUAAUUUAGGAUUGUAUGGUCUGAGGAGAGAGACUAAGCUGAAGAAUAUGACCAAAUGUAUGAGUGAUUCUGCAAUUAGUUCAGACCUUACAGAUGUAGAUUCUGGCACUCUUUCCCCACAGCCAUCAAAUAUUCCCAGUUGGCUCUGUAGUCACCAUCCUCAUCAUCAUUAUAACCAUCAUAACCAUCGGAAUUUUAAUAGACUAGUUCAUCUGGAUCUACCUGAAAUGAAUAAAUUUACAUCGUGUGCCAAUAAUAACCCAAUGACACCAUCAAAACCAUUAGACUUAUUCCCUUGGUGUAAAUCUUCAAGUAGCUUUGUUGGAUCCCUGCUGAAAGUAAGACCAUAUAGUAUUGGACGAAGUAUUUCAGUUGAUGGCUUAAAUGUGUGGCUGUCCAAAGUACCCAUCUCAGAUUUGCAGCCAACUUGUAAGAAUCAUAGUAAUGAUGAAAUGAUCAAUAAAUAUCCAGAAUCUGGGAGACUAAACCCAAGUAAAACUCUUGCAAACACUCCCAACCAAUCUGCUGAGUCGUGCAACCCCCACCAAGACUCAGCUGCAGAAUUUGAGACUGUUGAUCCAACUUUAACAGAGAUGAAGCAGGAUUCUUACUCAUCCAGUGCAUCAUCAUCUCCGACUUCUGCUUCACUGUAUAUGGGGCAAUAUCAGACUGGUGGCAGUAUGGUGAACUCCCAAGAAGAAUUUGAGAAAUUGGAGCGAGACUUGCCCUCUGAUAUAUCAUCACUUCAUUCUGGUUUCAGUGGUCGCCAUGGCAAUGAUAAUUGGCACCAUUCUGAUGUGAUAAAUGAGCCAGAUUUAAUUGGAAUUAAUGAUGACAAUGAUGGAUAUUUAUAUUUCAAGUCAGAUGAUGAUGUAAGAGUUGGAAACUUUCAACGAAAGUUUUUGUCUCGUCCAACUAAGAUGGCAGGUCAGAAGUCUUCCCGGAUAAAAUUUGUUGAUGCAAAAGAACAAAACUUGCAACGAAGAUAUAAAUAUCAUGCCCCAAAUAGUGGUUGGUCUUCAACAGAUGAUAGUGCUGACACUACUUUUAGAUAUAUGAAGGCACCAGUUGUAAAGUCUAAAAAUAUCAAGGGAGUUGGUCACAAUUCAAGUUUUAUAAAUGAUGACGAUGAUGAUGAUGAAUCAGUAUUUGAAGAUGAUAUUUCACAAUAUCAUCAUUCAGGGAAGCGUAACCGAUUUCCAGUGCUUCCUCACUCCAAGUCAGCAUCCACUACAGAUUUACCUGCAGACUACCCAACAUCUCCCAGCAGUUAUCGGUCAGUAUCUCCAAGUCUUUCCUCUGAAAUAGCUAUUGAAGAUGAAAGAUCAAUGAAGUAUAAACCAAAAUUAAUAUCAGUUGGAAUCCAAACAAGCCAGAAUGAAUGUGCAACACAAACUGAAAACCAACCCAGCUUGGCUUCUGAUUUCACCAUUCCUUCGCAUGACCAAAUCUUGAAAGACUCACAAGCAUCCAAUCGCAUGCCAUUUCCAAUCCACAUCCCUCUUUUAAUUCCAGAGUCUGGCACAUUACACUCAUUGCCUGCUCUCAUGUUAGAAACAACCAAUCUUUUAAAAAAUUUAACAAAGCAUUUGACUGUUGAUCCAUCAUUGCCAAGCCCAGCUUCUGAGACCAGUUCAACAUCAUUUAAUAAUAAUCUAAAAUGUAACACUUCAACACAAACAGAGUGUAAGCCCAAUGUGCCAAGUGCACCAGACAAUGGCUACCCACAGUCUUAUAUCUCUGACAAAGAAAACCACUCCAGGGAAUAUUUUCCUAACAUGACCCAAGCACAGCAGAAUAUCGUUAACCAGGAGCAAAGGGCUUACACAAACGGUAAUUAUUCUCAGCCAAGUGAACUCCAUAUAAAUAGGAAUGCCAACCCUAAUUCUUAUUCCUCACUACACCAGCAGAAGAAACGGUUAUAUUUACCUUUGAAGCAAGACACAAGUACUCUGGGUUCGAAUUCUUCAACCCUGGACGCCUUUAAAGGAGAUAUGUGUGACUCAUUCACCUACCACCCUCAGGGACAUCCCAACUACAGGGAAGAUUGCCAGGCUCCAGCUCAACAUUACCCUAGUUACAGAUAUCAAUCCAAUAGUCCCAGUGAACCAAAUGCAUCUCGUCAGCAUCAUAGGUCUCCUAAUGAUUUGAACCCUAACCUUGUUGGAUCAGCUCAACAUUUUCACUCGACCCCUUACAAGAAUGAUGUUGAUUUUAGUCGUCAGUUCAAGUUUAAUCAGUCAUCUCCUUUACCAAAUGGUAACUUUGAUAGGUUUUAUCACAGUAUGAAAUACACAACUCCUUCAGCCAAUAAGCGACCUUGGCAAGAUAUAAUCAAUUACUCAGAGUAUAACCUUGACUCCACUGUUCAUGAUAUCCAUGUGAAUCCCAACUGGCCACAUUCAAACUUUAGAAACUCUUCCCCAGGAGCUCAUGUUCCCUGUCAGGAUUUCUCUGGUCAUUCCUAUGGAAACAAUUACAUGAACCAUGAUGUAGCUAGCCAACAAGGUGCUGGACCUAGACAUCGCUUCCGGUCAAUGACAAUUGCUUCCAAUGACAUGUCCAGGGUCAGGCUCCCAUUAAAUAGACACAAUACUCUUCCUCGCAGUAGCCUGAGUCACUCCCCUAAUCAACCAUUUUUCCAGGAAAACACAGCUUGGGAACCACAACCACCACCAUUCCAACAAUAUGCCACCCUACCCAGAGGAUAUAAGUUUGGUUCUUCAAAUCUUUUAGAUUACAAUAAUGAUCCGAGACAUGCCUUUGAUUAUCCUGACAAUCAGAAUAUAGAAGAUUAUUAUAACGAGGAACUCAGCCUUUCUUUAAGACGGUCCGGUGUUACUGACGAAUACCUUGAACUGUUAACUAAAUCUGUGAAAUCUUCCCCUACGGAACAACCUUCCAGUUCCAAUUCUGUUUCUGACCGACCAAAGUAUAGGACACUCUCUAAUUUAACUUCACCUUCCGACAGACCACAACCAAACAGAUUUAACAAAAGUUUAAGCCUUCCUACAUAUAAAUCAUCACAGUCAAAAUCCCCAAACACUCAAUUCACAUGUGAAGGCCUUGAGACUAAAUCAUUUUCUGAUGUGGCAAAUGAGGUUGGUGCCAGAGUGGAGUAUUAUGGUACUGAAAAGAGUAACGAUGGUAGUUCGAUGGUCGAUUGUAACCAGAACAAUGAUAUUGAUACAGUGAUGAAACUGAAUCAACAGUAUUCAAAGAUGAUCUCAAAAGAGAAAUCUUCUGCCAAAAGUCAGCCAAAACAUUUGUCUCAACGUCAGAAGGAGAACCAAAGUCAGAAACAAGCUCUGGAGAAGAAAUUCAAGAAAUGGGAAGAGGAACAACUAGACAUAAUGGACAUGGUCAAUCUGAAAUAUCUUCCUGUCAGUUUUACUGUAAAAUAUCUGGAAAAGAAAGUGAACCACUGUAUUGCCCAGACUGACAUGCUGUUAGAUACCCUCGAUGAAGAUGAAGGCACAACCCCUACUGAAACUGAUGACCCAAAUAGUUCAAUAGCUGAGGAUCAAACUAAUGAAGACAGUUCGUCUAUCGUUAGUGGAUUCAGUUCAUCGAUGGAUCAACCUCAUUUACUGUGUCACCAAGACGAGGAGACAGUCAGUUCUGAUAGACAGAAUGAAAGUUUGAACAACUCAUCAGAACUCAGUCCAAACACCUGGCUGCAACUUCAGUCAUCCAUCCCAAACCUUCUCACUGACGACUACGCCACCAGCAAUGAAUCUGAAAAUCACACCCAGGUUGAUAGCUGUGAUGAUGUUAUUCAUACUGACUCGGAGAAUGACAUUGAUACACGAACUUACACUCGCUACUCCCAGAGCUCAUUGACUAAUUUAUCAUUAAGCGGUUCUGAUCAAACUCUUCCUGAAUCUCAAUACCAUUCUGUGGAUGAGUCACACCUACAAGGUGUUGUCACCAUGUCAGCUGGAGUGUUUAAGGGCCAUCAAGCGAACAUGAAUGAACUGUCGAUGAUCCAUAAUGGUCUCUCAGAAACGGAGGAAGGAAACCGGAACAGAUUCUGCCAAACUGAAGGGAACAGGAGAUUACCAAGAUAUUUCAAUAAACAGGUCAAUGACUGCAAUAAACAAAGCAACUCUUGUAGCAGUCUCAAUAAUACAGAUGCCCUAUCAGACACGUCUCUCAGACUUCACCAUGAGGAGUCUCUGAGGAGGAAUCGUACUGCUUUGACCCCCAACUACCGAGGAAUGACACCAUCACCACUUAUUUAUCGACAGAGAAGUUCUUCUACAGAUCACUGAAACCAGAGAUAGCAGUACCUGAGAUUGAAACCCUAUAGCCAUCUUACCCUUACCAUUAUUUAUUCUCUCCCCUACUCUGCAAAAAACACAUGAAGUUGGCUGGAAUUCAUUCUCCACUUAAAAUUGAUGCUGAUUUUUACUGAAUAUAUCUCUUAUUUCUUUCUUCUCAGUUAUCCAUCAUCAUCAACUUUCUCUCUCUUAUGUAUUUCCUUCUCUUUUCCUCUCAUACAACACAUUGCUCUCACCUCCCCUAUGAAUCACAUAUAUAACACAUCCUCACAUUUGUUAUCUCAGCCCCAUUUGUCCUUGCAUUGUUGGAGAGUGAACUGGGAGUAUCUACGACUUGUGCCUUUGUCACCAUCACCUCGCUUUUUUUUUUUCUAUAGGUUAACAAGAUUAAAUAUAUUUUAUUUUUGACAUGUAUUCACAUUAAAUACUUAAUUCCUAUUUUUGCUAUAUAUUUAUGUGAAGUCAGAUUACCACACAAUAUUUAGUUUCAUACUUGCUAAAUUUCUAAAUUACUUCUUGCCAGGGUCAACUUCAACUUUUCAUCUCUUUGAAGUCAAUUUAACAUACCAGUGACACAAUGGUGUUUGAUUUAGUCAAUUAUACACCAGCUCUACUUUAAAUAAGAAUUAGUGUUUGGCUUAUUUAGAAUCUCUAAUUAAGGUUUUUUGAGAAAUUCAUAAAAUACAGGAAAAAGAUAUCCCCAUAAUUAAUAUAUAUUAGCAUUAAAAAUAAAAGUUAACAUUUACAUAUGUUAACUAGAAAUAAUUACGUUAAGGAAAAAGAAAAAAUAUAUAUAUAUAUUAAGCCAAUACCUGCGAUAUACCCAGGGUUCUCCCUCGUAAGCCUUCACAGUACUUAACCAAAGUAUAAUAAAAUUCAAUAUUGUGUAGAAAAAUAGAAUUGCUUAGAUAUUAAAUAAUUCAGAGGCCGUCCUUAUUGAAAACAAUAAGUAACUAUCCGUUAACUUGAUUUGCCUUAAAAUAUAAAUCUCCUUUUACUGGAGUUGUCUUCCAUCGAUGCUCAUAAUUUCUUCAGUUGCGUCCCUUUAACAUAAUUUUCUAACCUUUGUCCUAAUACUCGUCUGGUUGUGUGUUUGCAUUACAUAAAUAGAUGUUUUGCAUUUAAAAUUGACUAAUUGUCUUAGAUAGCCACUUUACCAGCCAACGUCGUCUCCUUCAAACAACUAAAUAAUAGGAAGAAAACAUUUGAUAAUCAAGACCUAGAUAAAUUACUUGAAUUAAAAUUGUUUUGACCACGUCAAUUGAAGCUGAACGGAGAGUAAACAAUGUUCAUCACCUUGCUUUUUAGUCUGAUUUGUGAUAUCUUACACCCAGGUAUUCACUGAUUAUUUGUCUGCUUUGAGUGUGGGAUGGAGAUAUAUAUAAUUAGUGUGUACCAGACUAAACCAUAUAUGGAAGUGCCAUGUUUGGGUCACAUGUCACCUAAUAUUUUGUCUAUAUAUAUAUAUAUAUAUAUAUGAUCAGAGAGAGAAAUGUGCUAAAUGUAGCAGGAGAGGACUGAGCUGGUCCAUGCUAGCACUGAUGACAUAGGAGUUAAUAAAUAGUUGCAAAUAUAAGUGUUAGACAUUGGAGUUGUAAGCUACUUUAAUGGGUGACUGUCAGAAAAACCAUGAAAGGAGUGAGUGGACUGUUGCUCUAGUGUUCUCAGACAUUUAUUUUACAUAUUAAUCACUCUCACCAAGUGCAGCUGUUUCUGCAACUAAUAAGAUAGAAUUCCUGUAAAUUACAACAGAAAGAUUGUCCAGAUAGGGUCACAAUCAGAAAUUUUUAAAAAAUUUUUAUUAUUUUUUUUUCUACCUUCACAGUGAAUGUGUGUUUUGACAGCUAACAAGCAGUGGUGCUAGAACUGCGUAUAUGUGUUUUUCAGCAAAGACACAGCAAUGGUGCUAAAGUUAGAUGACUUGUAAAUAAUAUAUUUGUAAAGUUCAUGUUUGGAAAUUUCUCACAUCUUUGUAUUUUCAUCUCAACAAUACUUUUGCAAUUUUUUUUUUCUUGAAGUUUGAAGUGCCUACCACCCCUGCUCUCCUAUUUAAAUACAUAUUUGGUGCUAUUGAAAAAAUAUCACACCCUUAGUUGAAACCUACCUGAAAUUACCUGCAUAUAUGUCUUCCCUCCAUCACUGUUUGUUGCAAAUGUUAACACAAUGCACUUCCUAACCUUUACACCAAACACACUCCUCCUUUGAUUUUCAUCACCAACCCUCCACCUCCAAGGACUAUCUUAACAUACUCUGUAGUAUGACACACAAACUAUCUCUCUAAUCAUCUCUGUACUUAGUUUUCUUUUCUUCUGUCACAGCCAACAACUUCAAAUUACUUAGUGCCAUGAAAGGCACAGUUCACAGCACUCACCAAUGUUACCAAAGAUAUUAAAUCUCUUAAACAUUGUGUUGAGAAUUUGAUUAAAAAAAAAAAACUUAAUAACAGAGGAUUAAAGCAAACAAAUGUUAUCUCUAAUAAAGACCUCGAUUUCUCAGUUUGAAAGAUUGUCUAAUUGUAACCCUUAACAUGAGGGUUUAUUUUUCUAUAAUUCACCAUAUGUCUGAAGAGAUAAUUCUUGAAAGAAACGUUUUAUAAAAUGUUGAAGUUUGUGAGUGGAUUGUCUGAAAGUAUUCAUCUAAUUUAUAUACAACUUUUCAUUGAUUGUUUAAUGAAUAAAAAUAUUAAAGACAAUAAAAA
Octopus bimaculoides (California two-spot octopus) is the source of this 15171-nucleotide unclassified non-coding RNA. Lineage: Eukaryota; Metazoa; Mollusca; Cephalopoda; Octopoda; Octopodidae. The record is from RefSeq and is a predicted model, not a curated record.